Molecule: ribosomal RNA, 677 nt
Filed under: uncultured Lachnospiraceae bacterium
Lineage: Bacteria; Bacillati; Bacillota; Clostridia; Lachnospirales; Lachnospiraceae
Description: bacterial SSU rRNA
Rfam family: Bacterial small subunit ribosomal RNA
Source: RNAcentral
UAACACAUGCAAGUCGAGCGAAGCACUUUGCUUUGAUUUCUUCGGGAUGAAGAGCUUAGUGACUGAGCGGCGGACGGGUGAGUAACGCGUGGGUAACCUGCCUCAUACAGGGGGAUAACAGUUAGAAAUGACUGCUAAUACCGCAUAAGGCCACAGCACCGCAUGGUGCAGGGGUAAAAACUCCGGUGGUAUGAGAUGGACCCGCGUCUGAUUAGGUAGUUGGCGGGGUAACGGCCCACCAAGCCGACGAUCAGUAGCCGACCUGAGAGGGUGACCGGCCACAUUGGGACUGAGACACGGCCCAAACUCCUACGGGAGGCAGCAGUGGGGAAUAUUGCACAAUGGGGGAAACCCUGAUGCAGCGACGCCGCGUGAGCGAAGAAGUAUUUCGGUAUGUAAAGCUCUAUCAGCAGGGAAGAAAAUGACGGUACCUGACUAAGAAGCCCCGGCUAACUACGUGCCAGCAGCCGCGGUAAUACGUAGGGGGCAAGCGUUAUCCGGAUUUACUGGGUGUAAAGGGAGCGUAGACGGAGCAGCAAGUCUGAUGUGAAAACCCGGGGCUCAACCCCGGGACUGCAUUGGAAACUGUUGAUCUGGAGUGCCGGAGAGGUAAGCGGAAUUCCUAGUGUAGCGGUGAAAUGCGUAGAUAUUAGGAGGAACACCAGUGGCGAAGGCGG